Long non-coding RNA from Bombus impatiens (common eastern bumble bee), 2268 nucleotides. RefSeq lists it as uncharacterized. The record is from RefSeq and is a predicted model, not a curated record. The transcript is spliced from 2 exons. Lineage: Eukaryota; Metazoa; Arthropoda; Insecta; Hymenoptera; Apidae.
CAUCGUCACAUCACAUUUCGUAUAUGAUAUCAUAUAUCAUAUAUGUUGCAUUAUUGUGUUAUUAAAAUAUUGAUGUAGCAGAAAACUACAAAAUAUUGUCUUAACAGUAAUAACUGACGAAAUCAGCGUGAAUCGAUUGCAACGAAAGUUUGAAAAUACCAUAGACUGUAAAAGGUUAAUACUAGAAUUAAUAUUAGAGCUAGAAAAUUAGUGAUUAUUCAACUAUUUAACAACGAAGGUAUUUUUUAUAGUGAUCGUCAGUUUGCAAGGCAAUACUAUGUAUCGAAUAUAUCGAAUCGAUUGAUAUCGAAUAUCUCAAGCAUGAAUCGAUAAUUUCAAUUUUAUUUUGCAUGCCGUUAUAUAUAUGAAUGAAAGGAAUUAGUUUAUAUAAUUUUGGACAGUUACCUUUCGAUUAACUCUAAGGAUAAAAAAUUUCUUCACAAUCUUGAACAUUGACAUAUACAAGCGUAGAAAUGGAACUGUCUUAAUGGUUCUGAGAAUUGCUUAUUGAUCUAUUGAAUUAUGUAAUCGAUAAGAGAUAAUCGAUUAUAUUAAUUUAUCGACAUCUUCCACUCUGGUAAGAUCGAAUUUUCAGCAACGAUUUCAAAUUAAAUUAAAACAAAUAUUGUAAUCGCUUCGUUUAGGUACUUCUCUCAUGAAAAUGUUCAUACUUCCAUAAUCCGUAACCAAAGAUGACACAAAUAUCCUUUGGCCAGAUGUCGACGCUUAAAACGAACAGAAAUGAUCGACGCAAAAGGGUAAUUCGUAAUAAUGCAUUGUUCUUUUUUUCCGCUUAUUUGUCUUCAUUUCAUUCGGUUCAUCGAAACAAUUAAACACCACCGUUUCCGUUCAACAAUACCCUUCCAUCUUUAAAAUUUGAAUACACGUUUAAAUACUGAACAAUUACCAUGUACACCUGACGCGUCUACUUUUUCAGAGAACAUCUUUAAUACACUGAAGAUUUUCCAGAUCCACUUGAACACCUUAUUUUUCUCUUUGAUUUUCUUUAAGCAAGAGUAAGGAAAAAAGGUCUAUAGAUGGAAGAAGAGAAAAAAGAGAAAUAUAACAUUGAGGAUAGAAAGAAGUGAAAGAAGAAGAGGAAAGAGAGGAGGUCGUAUUCGAUUCUUGAUCCACCGAUUACUAGUUAUUUUACUCUGUUUAAAAUCGGCAAUCCCAGCAAUAUGCAUAUAAGCUCAGCCCCUACUAACACAAGUUGGUGAUAGAGAUGGUAAACGCGCGAGCAGCCACAUAUUUCUACUUUGUUCUUGUUUCUUUUUUCAUUUUUUAGCCAAGCGUUGUAGUUGUAUUCCUGGCUGAUUAUCGCAUUACUUUAUUAUCUAUCACUACUACUUAUUACUACUAUCGUUAUCCACGUUAUUGACAAGAAAUCCGCUUACAGUGAUAGGGACCUAAGUUUAGUUUUAAAUCUUGAGAAGAGGUGAACAUGAAACUCACUGAUCUCAAAUUAUCUUCUUCUUUGGUUUCUUUUUAAAAUUUACCUUUGAAAUUAACCUUCUUACUUUUUUAGCGCUAAAUAUAUAUUCCGUGUAUUAUAUUUAUUUCUCAUUUAAAUGUAAGUUAAUAAAAAUACAAUAUACAUAUGAAAAUGCAAAGUAUACGUUAAGGGAUACACUUACCGGCUCGUGAAGAAGCUCGUGAUUCACUAAGGAAAAGCAGAAAAAAUAUGUUAGCAAAAAAGGUUGCUGAGUUCUUUAUAAAAUUGUAGAAACAUCUCUAGUAAUAUUGAACACAUUAUCUUUUGUUACAUUAAAUGAGAUAAUAUGGUAUUUCGCUGCAUAUCAAUUUCUCAUUUCUCUUUCGAGCACAAUCAAACAAAAUUUAUAAAAUGAUCUUUAAAAAGAAGAUAUUGGUAUCAAAAUAUAUUUUACAGGAAUAAAAAAGAUGAUGUUCAAAUACUUCUUUAAUUGAAGUUGAUAAAAAAAAUAAUGUAUAUAAUAAAAAAUAUAUGAAUGUUUAAAAUAUAGAAUGAGGAAUCAUAAUUUAUGAGCAGAGGUAAAAGCUCUAUUCGUAUUCGAUUAUAAAGACAAAACCAAAGGAAUGCACAUUUUUUAAUAUAUUUUACAAAACGUUCUAUUCGUACAGCAUAUAAAACAAUACUCUGUAUUUAUUUUAUAUUCACACAUUAGCUCUAUACGACUGUACCACCAUAUUCUUUCGUUAUAUGUAGAAUAUAACUUUAUACAAUAUUCGGCGCGAUUUUCAAAUGUCAGUACUAUGAAAGUGCGGUAUCUUUUUGUCGCGUGGUUC